GUUGGCUGCUGUGAGGACAAGGAAGAGUCAGGGCCUGGAGGAGCUGCCUGCAAGAAACAUCCAGGAGAACAGAAUGAAAGUGAACCAACUUCAGGCUUUGCUGAGUGACAGCCUUGCCAGCACAAAAAGCAUGUGGAAAAUGCAGUUAUCAUUGGUAUAAAGCCAAGUCUCUGCAUCGACCUUUGGCUUUAUUGUGAGAGAUCAAGAGCUUCCUGGGAAGUGACAGCAGAGGUGGAAACUCUGUGAAAUCAGAGCACAAAGCAGAAAUAAUGGCAGGGAGCACAGCACUCUACUAAAUCCAUUUGUUCUCUCAGCCUCAGAGCCCCGUGCUGGGGUACAGCUCAGCUGAUUUGCAAGGUGAUUGCUAAUUUCACAUCUUUGAUUUUUUGGAACAAAGAUGCCAUUUAAGUGGUGUUUUGAAGAUCUUUUUGACCACUUUGUGCUCAGUGAUCCUGACUGUAAAGCAGAUGGAUGUAGGUCCAUUCUCUGGCCCUGGCAGAUGUACUGGAAUGGAAUGAGGUGUGCCCAUACAAUAACACCAAAGCUGUGGCUGAACUGGGAUGCUGGUUGGGAACACAGAUCUAGAUUCAAUACCAGGGACUGUUAUAGAAAUAUUUUCUGCCUAAUUCUGGAGAAACAGUGCAGUGAAAGCACCUGUAGCUGCCAAGUUACUAUCACUGAUACAGCACAUGAAACAAGCCCAUUCUUCUAUCCACUGACAGCUCUGUCUGUGCCCGGAAUCACGGCUGGAAAAGACCUAAAGAUCAUGGAGUCCAGCCAUUAACCCAGCACUGCCAAGCCCAGCACUAAACCGUGUCUGUCAGUGUCACAUUUACAGAUCUUUCAAGUACCUCCAGGGAUGGUGACUCUGGGCAGUCUGUUCCAGUGUUUUACAGCCCUUUUGGUGAAGAAAUUGUUUCUAAAAUCCAAUCUGAACCUCCGCUUAUGCAAUGUGAGGUCAUCUCAUCUUGUUCUAUCACUUGUAACUUGAGAGAAGAGCCCAACCCUCACCAGGCUUCACCCUCCUGUCAGCUGUACAGAGAGAGAAGGGUUUCCCCCUGAGCCUCCUUUUCCCCAGGCUGAGCCCCUUUCCCAGCUCCCUCAGCUGCUGCUCCUCAGACCUGUGCUCCAGAGCCUUCGCCAGCUCUGUUCCCCUCCCUGGACACGCUUCAGCCCCUCAAUGUCCUUCCUGAGCUGAGGGCCCAGAAGUGGGCCAAGUCCUCAAGGUGACCUCAGCCAUGCCCAGCACAGGGCACAGUCACUGCCCUGGCCCUGCUGCCUAACCAGGGCUGGUACAGCCCAGGUGCCUUUGGCCUUCUUGGCCACCUGGGCACACCUGGGCCAUGUUCAGCUGCUGUCCCCAGCACCCCCAGGUCCUUUUUCACUGAACACCUUUCCAGCCACUCUGCCCCAACCUGUGGCAGUGCAGGGGUUGUUAUGAACCAAGUGCAGGACCCAGCACUUGGCUUUGUUGAACCUCAAACAAUUGACCUCAGCCCAUGGAUCCAGCCUGUCCAGAUCCCUCUGCAGAGCCUUCCCACUCUCCAGCAGAUCAACACUCAGAUUGGUGCUGUCUGGAAACCUUCAGAGGAUGGACUCGGUCCCCUCCUCCAAACCAUCAAUAAAGACAUUCAAAAGAGCUGGCCCCCACAAAAGAGUGCAGAGCCUGGGGGAAUGGGAUUUAUUAAAUCUAACAGCAAGGCUUUCCCCUAUAAUCUAACUUCAGACUGGCUCUAUCUUAUUUUUUUCAGCAGGACGACACACAGAGCUGGAGCAGAUCCAAAAGGCACCGUUGUCUGCCUGGCUGGCUCAGUAAUAAAUUCAGGAGCCAUAUCAUAUUUGAUCAGACUACUUUAGAGAGAAAGGUAGCUGAAUCAACAGAAAAUUUGGACUUCAUCAACCUCAAGAGUGCUCAUUAAGAAAUAAAGUACAGAAGUUCAAAGCUUUAAAUAAGAAACUGCUGCUUUACAACAUUACAGCUGCUGAACUCCCUUCUGUUUUUUCAAGAACAAUUGUGGCCUUGCUUCUCAUAAAAGGACUACCCUAUGCAUUUGCACUCUAUGUUUCUUAACAGAAUUGAAAAUGAUGUCUUCGCUAUUUGGUUCAAGAUGUUGUGCUUUAUCUUUCUAAUGCUGUAUUUUAGCCUGCUUCCAGAUAACAUAGUUACUAAUCUCACUACACACAGUAAGUUCUCUAAUGGCAUUAUAGCUACACAGGGGCCACAGACCCAAGGGACAAAGGAAAUUGCUAAACUAACACUUUCCAGACUGUCCUGUACAUCCUUGAAUAAUAAAAUAAUAAAACAUAUUUUUAUCAUGUGAAUUUGCAUUGUCAAUGACUGCAAGAGAAAGUUAUUUUAAACUGCAGUGGAUUGCAAAGUCCUCUGAGGACAGUGGAGGAGGGAAAAUGCCAGUACUGGCACUGAAUCAGGCUGUGUGCACUGUAGACCAGGCUCCAUGAUCUUUCCAUCUUCAGAAACGCAUCAAUUAUUAGCUCUUCAAGUCAUGUGAGAACAAAUGAAUUUUAUCUAUACUUGAUUUGUUCCA
Zonotrichia leucophrys gambelii is the source of this 2546-nucleotide long non-coding RNA. RefSeq lists it as uncharacterized. NCBI's taxonomy places the organism in Eukaryota, Metazoa, Chordata, Aves, Passeriformes, Passerellidae. The transcript is spliced from 3 exons. The record is from RefSeq and is a predicted model, not a curated record.